This 74-nucleotide transfer RNA is filed under the name Verrucomicrobia bacterium LW23. It matches the Rfam family "tRNA". Rfam says of the family: Transfer RNA (tRNA) molecules are approximately 80 nucleotides in length. Their secondary structure includes four short double-helical elements and three loops (D, anti-codon, and T loops). Lineage: Bacteria; Pseudomonadati; Verrucomicrobiota. The record is from Rfam by way of RNAcentral.
GCUCCCAUAGCUCAAUCGGAUAGAGCAGCGGUCUUCUAAACCGCAGGUUACUGGUUCGAACCCAGUUGGGAGCA